Molecule: ribosomal RNA, 501 nt
Filed under: uncultured bacterium
Lineage: Bacteria
Description: partial 16S ribosomal RNA
Rfam family: Bacterial small subunit ribosomal RNA
Source: RNAcentral
AUUGAACGCUGGAGGCAGGCUUAACACAUGCAAGUCGAGCGGGGAAUGGUAGCUUGCUACCUGACCUAGCGGCGGACGGGUGAGUAAUGCUUAGGAAUCUGCCUAUUAGUGGGGGACAACAUUCCGAAAGGAAUGCUAAUACCGCAUACGCCCUACGGGGGAAAGCAGGGGAUCUUCGGACCUUGCGCUAAUAGAUGAGCCUAAGUCAGAUUAGCUAGUUGGUGGGGUAAAGGCCUACCAAGGCGACGAUCUGUAGCGGGUCUGAGAGGAUGAUCCGCCACACUGGGACUGAGACACGGCCCAGACUCCUACGGGAGGCAGCAGUGGGGAAUAUUGGACAAUGGGCGAAAGCCUGAUCCAGCCAUGCCGCGUGUGUGAAGAAGGCCUUUUGGUUGUAAAGCACUUUAAGCGAGGAGGAGGCUACUUGGAUUAAUACUCUAGGAUAGUGGACGUUACUCGCAGAAUAAGCACCGGCUAACUCUGUGCCAGCCGCCGCGGUAA